UACGAAGGGGGCGAGCGUUGUUCGGAAUUACUGGGCGUAAAGGGCGCGCAGGCGGCCUUAGAAGUCAGAUGUGAAAGCCCCGGGCUCAACCUGGGAAUGGCAUUUGAUACUCUGAGGCUGGAGUACGGGAGAGGAGAGUGGAAUUCCCAGUGUAGAGGUGAAAUUCGUAGAUAUUGGGAAGAACACCGGUGGCGAAGGCGGCUACUCUGGACCGUAACUGACGCUGAGGCGCGAAAGCGUGGGGAGCAAACAGG
This 254-nucleotide ribosomal RNA is filed under the name uncultured bacterium. RNAcentral describes it as "partial 16S ribosomal RNA". It matches the Rfam family "Bacterial small subunit ribosomal RNA", at positions 524 to 776 of the family's 1533-position model. The record is from RNAcentral.